This 118-nucleotide ribosomal RNA is filed under the name Diaphorina citri (Asian citrus psyllid). Lineage: Eukaryota; Metazoa; Arthropoda; Insecta; Hemiptera; Psyllidae. The record is from RNAcentral.
CCUAUCAGUUACUGAUCGUUGAAUACACCAGUUCUCCACAGAUCACUGAAGUUAAGCAACGUUGUGCGUGUUUGGUAUCCGGAUAGUUGACCAUCAGGGCAAUCGCGUGCUGCUGGCU